RNAcentral lists this ribosomal RNA (465 nucleotides) under uncultured bacterium. RNAcentral's name for it is "partial 16S ribosomal RNA". It matches the Rfam family "Bacterial small subunit ribosomal RNA", at positions 28 to 507 of the family's 1533-position model. The record is from RNAcentral.
GACGAACGCUGGCGGCGUGCUUAACACAUGCAAGUCGAACGGAAAGGCCCUGCUUGCAGGGUACUCGAGUGGCGAACGGGUGAGUAACACGCGGGGUAUCUGCCCUGCACUCCGGGAUAAGCCUGGGAAACUGGGUCUAUUAUCGGAUAGGAGCCAUUUUUAGUGUGAUGGUUGGAAAGUUUUUUCGGUGUAGGAUGAGCUCGCGGCCUAUCAGCUUGUUGGUGGGGUAAUGGCAUACCAAGGCGGCGACGGGUAGCCGGCCUGAGAGGGUGGGCAGCCACAUUGGGACUGGGAUACAGACACGACUCCGACGGGUAGGAGCAGUGGGGAAGGUUGAAAAAUGGGCGUGAGCCUGAUGCAGCGACGCCACGGGGGGGAGAACGGUCUUCGGGUUGUGAACUCAUUGCGCUAGGGACGAAGCUUUUUGUGACGGUACCUAGAUAAGAAGCACCGGCUAACUACGUG